CCGGGCUAACCUGCAGUCGAGCGCGAACGUUUUCUUCGGAGAGCUAUUAGCGCGGCGGAAGGGUGAGUAACGCAUGGGUAACGUACCCCGGGCACGAGGAUAGUCCACCGAAAGGUGGCGCAAUACUCGGUAACGCCGGACCGGCACAUGCCGGACCGGCCAGAGGGUGGGGACCCCUUCGGGGGCCUGCCGGCCCGGGAUCGGCCCAUGUCCCAUCAGCUUGUUGGUAGGGUAACGGCCUACCAAGGCCACAACGGGUAGCCGGACUGAGAGGUCGACCGGCCACAUUGGGACUGAGACACUGCCCAGACUCCUACGGGAGGCUGCAGGGACGAAUAUUCCGCAAUGGGCGAAAGCCUGACGGAGCGACGCCGCGUGUGGGAGGAAGCCCUUCGGGGUGUAAACCACUGUCGAGAGGCUACCAAGCAAGUCCGCCGAAUAAGCGGAGGCGUUGAGGAGCUUCACAGGAAGUCACGGCUAACUUCGUGCCAGCAGCCGCGGUAAUACGAAGGUGGCUAGCGUUGUUCGGAAUCACUGGGCUUAAAGAGCACGUAGGCGGUCUGUCAAGCGCUUUGUGAAAUCCCUCGGCUCAACCGAGGAAUUGCCUGGCGAACUGGCAGACUUGAGGCAAGUAGGGGCGUGUGGAACUCUUGGUGGAGCGGUGAAAUGCGUAGAUAUCAAGAGGAACGCCGGAGGCGAAAGCGACACGCUGGGCUUGUCGAGACUCCGCAAACGGUUUACCGAGUGCGGGGCCUCUUCCUGACGCUGAGGUGCGAAAGCCAGGGGAGCAAACGGGAUUAGAUACCCCGGUAGUCCUGGCUGUAAACGAUGUCCACUAUGUUGAGGGCUCUUUGACGGGCUCCCGGCCGAAGCAAAAGUGUUAAGUGGACCGCCUGGGGAGUACGGUCGCAAGGCUAAAACUCAAGGGAAUUGACGGGGGCUCACACAAGCGGUGGAGGAUGCUGCUCAAUCGAUGCAACGCGAAGAUCUUAUCCUGGCUUGAAAGCACGGAUACGGCGCCCGAAAGGGAUGUCCGUUGCCCUUCGGGGUGAACGUGUACAGGUGCUGCA
This 1070-nucleotide ribosomal RNA is filed under the name uncultured bacterium. Its description in RNAcentral is "bacterial SSU rRNA". It matches the Rfam family "Bacterial small subunit ribosomal RNA", at positions 44 to 1045 of the family's 1533-position model. The record is from RNAcentral.